Non-coding RNA from Vicia faba (fava bean), 219 nucleotides. The record is from the annotation of a GenBank genome assembly. Lineage: Eukaryota; Viridiplantae; Streptophyta; Magnoliopsida; Fabales; Fabaceae.
AUGGGUCAUCAGUUAAAAGAUUGUGAAGCGGUUGAAGAGUUAGGUGAAGAAGAGUCACUUGGAGCGGUUGACAUCUCUAGAAAACACAAUGGACGGGGUGAUACCCAAACCAGUUCUCCUGUAAAGCAAAAGAAGUGGACUAGGAGACAACUUGGAAGGAAUGCAUGGGCGGAGUAUACAAAGAAGAAAAUGGUGGUUGAAAUGGAAAAAGACAACUAA